AAUCAACGCUGGCGGCGUGCCUAACACAUGCAAGUCGAACGCGAAAGCCCCGCAAGGGGUAAGUAGAGUGGCAAACGGGUGAGUAACACGUGGGUGACCUGCCUCAGAGUGGGGGAUAAC
This 120-nucleotide ribosomal RNA is filed under the name uncultured bacterium. RNAcentral's name for it is "partial 16S ribosomal RNA". It matches the Rfam family "Bacterial small subunit ribosomal RNA", at positions 32 to 147 of the family's 1533-position model. The record is from RNAcentral.